This 72-nucleotide transfer RNA is filed under the name bacterium. RNAcentral's name for it is "tRNA-Asp". It matches the Rfam family "tRNA". From Rfam's summary of the family: Transfer RNA (tRNA) molecules are approximately 80 nucleotides in length. The record is from RNAcentral.
GCCUGUGUAGUAUCAAUGGCAGAAUACUCGGCCGUCAACCGAGUGGUUCGGGUUCGAGUCCCGAUUCAGGCG